UACGUAGGGGGCAAGCGUUGUCCGGAAUUAUUGGGCGUAAAGAGCGCGUAGGCGGUCCGGUAAGUCGGUUGUGAAAGUCGGGGGCUCAACCCUCGGAUGCCGAUCGAUACUGUCGGGCUAGAGUCCGGAAGAGGCGAGUGGAAUUCCUGGUGUAGCGGUGAAAUGCGCAGAUAUCAGGAAGAACACCCGUGGCGAAGGCGGUUCUCUGGAACGCAACUGACGCUGAGACGCGAAAGCGUGGGGAGCAAACAGG
This 253-nucleotide ribosomal RNA is filed under the name uncultured bacterium. RNAcentral's name for it is "partial 16S ribosomal RNA". It matches the Rfam family "Bacterial small subunit ribosomal RNA", at positions 524 to 776 of the family's 1533-position model. The record is from RNAcentral.